This 377-nucleotide unclassified non-coding RNA is filed under the name uncultured Simkaniaceae bacterium. RNAcentral's name for it is "contains 16S-23S intergenic spacer region". The record is from RNAcentral. Lineage: Bacteria; Pseudomonadati; Chlamydiota; Chlamydiia; Parachlamydiales; Simkaniaceae.
UCCUAGUUAACCUAGGCAGUCUCGUUAGAGUCCCCACCUUAAAUGUUGGCAACUAACGAUAAGGGUUGCGCUCGUUGCGGGACUUAACCCAACACCUCACGGCACGAGCUGACGACAGCCAUGCAGCACCUGUACAAAGGCCCUUGCGGGAAAUGACAUUUCUGCCAUCGUCCUCUGUAUGUCAAACCUGGGUAAGGUUCUUCGCGUUGCAUCGAAUUAAACCACAUGCUCCACUGCUUGUGCGGGCCCCCGUCAAUUCUUUUGAGUUUCACCCUUGCGAGCGUACUCCUCAGGCGGUAUACUUAUCGCGUUAGCUUCGACACAGUCAGGGUUGAGCCUAACUACAUCAAGUAUACAUCGUUUACGGCAAGGACUAC